RNAcentral lists this ribosomal RNA (16 nucleotides) under Isabellaria praestans. RNAcentral describes it as "partial 5.8S ribosomal RNA". The record is from RNAcentral. RNAcentral also lists the same sequence under 9 other names. Lineage: Eukaryota; Metazoa; Mollusca; Gastropoda; Stylommatophora; Clausiliidae.
CCGUCUGAGGGUCGGC